Molecule: ribosomal RNA, 298 nt
Filed under: uncultured eukaryote
Lineage: Eukaryota
Description: partial 18S ribosomal RNA
Rfam family: Eukaryotic small subunit ribosomal RNA
Source: RNAcentral
CCCUUUGAUACUCUGGGCGGCACGCGCGCUACAAUGGAUAACUUAACGUGUUACAUGUCCGCAAGGAUGUAUGCAAAUCACAAAUGUUAUGUCUCGAGUGGGAUAGUUUACUGCAAUUAUAGACUUGAACUAGGAAUCCCUUGUAGGUACACUGAAGCAUAGUGUACCGAAUACGUCCCUGCCGUUUGUACACACCGCCCGUCGUUUCUUCCGACUGAUACUCAUUGUGAAUUGCGGGGAUAACGUUGUUGAAAACCGUUGUAAAUGCUGGGUAUUGGAGGAAGAAAAAGUCGUAACA